GAAAUGUUAGUCUAAUAUAAAGACAGCUGAUUUCGACUCAGCAAAUUAUAGUGAAACUCCAUAAUAUUUC
RNAcentral lists this transfer RNA (70 nucleotides) under Allobates aff. trilineatus 2 AR-2020. RNAcentral describes it as "tRNA-Arg". It matches the Rfam family "tRNA". From Rfam's summary of the family: Transfer RNA (tRNA) molecules are approximately 80 nucleotides in length. Their secondary structure includes four short double-helical elements and three loops (D, anti-codon, and T loops). The record is from RNAcentral. Lineage: Eukaryota; Metazoa; Chordata; Amphibia; Anura; Aromobatidae.